Pelobates cultripes (western spadefoot toad) is the source of this 1113-nucleotide non-coding RNA. NCBI's taxonomy places the organism in Eukaryota, Metazoa, Chordata, Amphibia, Anura, Pelobatidae. The record is from the annotation of a GenBank genome assembly.
UUAUUCAAAACAAGCCUCUCAUUUAUUAAUUUGGGUUUUUAUACAUUAAAAAGUAAGUGCUUGUGUACAAAUACUCAUAGGACAGUAGUAGGAAGGGAGUGAAAGGAGUACAGAUGAGACAUAGGGAUGAACGUCAUGUACAUAUAACAAAUAAGUUCAGAGAAAGAACAUAAUGAUUUGGGAAGAGACAGCUCAGGUGGGGCUAUCUGCUCCCGGAACUAGACAUUUAUGGUCUUUAGUGUUGCUUUAAGCAUCAAGCAUUUCCUGAGUCCAAGUUAGCCAAUUUUAAUAUAGGAUAUCAUUAUGACACCUAUAAGCUUGAGCCUUGGAAUUAAGAUAAAUUCUAUCACAAUCCCAUCUUUUGAUAUAAGGGUCACCCAUAUGUCCAAGGUAUUUCCAGGCCUGCUAGCCAAAGCCUGUGGGACUUUGACAUAUCUUCCUCACGGUUCCCUUGGACUGAGAGACCACCAGAAUCAGCUGAGGAGAGUUCCUUCAUUUGUUAGACGAGGUAACAUCGUAAAAACCUUCCGAAGUCGGAGCUGGAAUGUAAGUUAAGGUACGACCAACAGUAGGUUUGUUUUUACAUAGAGAGCUUAAUAGAUAUGAGAAAAAUCUAAAGGUUAGAAAAAUGUCCAUAAUAACAAAUACAGCUAAUAGCAAAAAGUACAAAAUCUUCUUAGUUAGUAAAGUCAACCAUGUUCCUAGCCCAAAUGUAAAAUCCCAAUCCCCAAAGAAGCCAGUAUCCUAUUUGAUAUCCUGUACUAAGUCAUGUAAAUCUUUUAUAUGUUUAUGGAUACUAGUGCCAUGGUCAGAUAGGUUAAAACAGCACAUGCCUUCAAUAGCUUCACAGCCUGAGUCAUGUUUCAUUAGUAAGUAGUCAGUCAAGUCGUAUGUCUGUGUUUCAUGGGAUGGGGGUAGACAUAUGGAUCAAUUUUUGCACCGUGGCCCAGUGGUUACUAGUUACGCCUCUGUGCCUGCACCUGUUAGCCGAGUACCAUGCCAUAUAGUUAUCUACAGCUAAUAUAUGCAAAAUAUUGUAUUAUAUCAUAUUAGCCUUGUGCAUUAACAUAGGCACUAUAAGACCAUAGCAGUAUUUACUUAUUUAUUUUAAAG